CAUGUACUCCCUCCGUCCGGAAUUAAUUGUCGCAGAAAUGGAUUUAUCUAGAUGUAUUUUAGUUCUGCAUACAUUCAUUUUCAUUUCUGUGACAAGUAAUUUGGGGCGGAGUGAGUAUCAC
Molecule: non-coding RNA, 121 nt
Organism: Hordeum vulgare subsp. vulgare (domesticated barley)
Lineage: Eukaryota; Viridiplantae; Streptophyta; Magnoliopsida; Poales; Poaceae
Source: Rfam